Molecule: non-coding RNA, 54 nt
Organism: Myotis brandtii (Brandt's bat)
Lineage: Eukaryota; Metazoa; Chordata; Mammalia; Chiroptera; Vespertilionidae
Source: Rfam
CUCUAAUUAAAGAAAUGGGUUUCCUGAGAAGAGGCAUCCUCCUCGAACUGAAAG